GCGCAGCCCGAGUUGCUCCACCCACCCGCAAGGACGCCGUCGUCUUCAACACCACAACACAACCCCACCGCUGCUGCUACUCAUGGAGGUCGACGCCACCGAUGCUGGUUCUCACAGAGGUUGAUGUUGCCGCGGGAGCCCUUCUCGUCUGAAGGCGUCGACGAUGCAUUGCCUCCUCCAAGCCGCAACAGCAACCACGUCUGUGUCCACGCCGGCCCGCCGCGUCUAGCCGCUGACCGUCGCACGCCGCUCUCUGCAAUCAUCCCAGUGUUCUCCAAUUGGCCCAUGUAGCGAAUUUUGGGCUUGCUAAGACCUUGCAGCGUGAGGCAGGUGACAGAGGUGCUGGUGCUGGUGCCGGUGCCGGUGCCGGUGCCGGUGCCAUGUCCAGGGUUGUUGGAUCAUAUGAAUACAUUGCCCCAGGAGCAAAGUCAGAACUUGUAAAUGGUUGAUCACAUGGUGCUUGACAUGAAUUCCUAAGAGAAGGCUUGUUCUAAUUUUCCGGGAGAUGUAUAGAUGGAGAAGAAACAAAAGCUUGUGCAGUAUAGAGAAUUCUUUGAUAAGACCCUUGCCUCACCUGAUCUUACAAAUAAUGAGAUGCUCAAAAAACUUGUUGAAAGCCAACUUGUAUGUU
Molecule: non-coding RNA, 631 nt
Organism: Arachis ipaensis
Lineage: Eukaryota; Viridiplantae; Streptophyta; Magnoliopsida; Fabales; Fabaceae
Source: RefSeq, a predicted model, not a curated record